GGCAGACGCUGGGGAGAAAGCCCUCUCCUCCUUCUCCCUCUUUCCCUCCCUCUUUGCAAAGGAGAGCUCUUGGCUGACCCGCCCGAGCCACUUUCUCCAGGGACUUGGACUGUGAAGCGCACCUGGCGCUGGGACGACGAGGAGGCUCAGGUGGAGAUGGUGACCCCAUGACUUCCAUAGAACUUCCUUGGGCAAGAUAUACUCAAAGACAGUUUUGCCAGUUCCUUCCUCUGAAAUAUGGCAUCUGUUCUUUAUGCUUAAACUGAUGGACUGGACAGUCCUUUAAACAGAAGACUCCUUCAGAAAGAAGAAUGGCCUCCAAUUGCCCUUAAACCGAAAACAUGUUAUGUACAGUGAGGACCCAAGAAACAGUCACCAUCAUAAACUUGCUUUAAGUUGGUUUGUUUAAAUAAAACAUAGCUAAUAUUAAGCUUAGUUUGUCCUGCUUCAGAUAUAAAAAUAACUAGUAGUUAGUUAAAAAUAGAAGUGAAAGCUUCUGAUCUUCUCCCUGUGGGUGUGCUGGAGAAGGGA
Long non-coding RNA from Sceloporus undulatus (fence lizard), 531 nucleotides. RefSeq lists it as uncharacterized. The transcript is spliced from 3 exons. Lineage: Eukaryota; Metazoa; Chordata; Lepidosauria; Squamata; Phrynosomatidae. The record is from RefSeq and is a predicted model, not a curated record.